Molecule: ribosomal RNA, 292 nt
Filed under: uncultured bacterium
Lineage: Bacteria
Description: partial 16S ribosomal RNA
Rfam family: Bacterial small subunit ribosomal RNA
Source: RNAcentral
GUGUCAGCCGCCGCGGUAAGACAGAGGGUGCAAACGUUGUUCGGAAUCACUGGGCAUAAAGCGCACGUAGGCGGCCAACUAAGUCAGGUGUGAAAUCCCCCGGCUCAACCGGGGAACUGCAUUUGAUACUGGUUGGCUCGAGGUUGGUAGGGGUGGAUGGAACUCCAGGUGGAGCGGUGAAAUGCGUAGAUAUCUGGAGGAACACCGGAGGCGAAAGCGGUCCACUGGGCCAAAUCUGACGCUGAGGUGCGAAAGCUAGGGUAGCAAACGGGAUUAGAAACCCUUGUAGUCC